UACGUAGGGUGCAAGCGUUGUCCGGAAUUACUGGGCGUAAAGAGCUCGUAGGUGGUUUGUCGCGUUGUCCGUGAAAACUCACAACUCAAUUGUGGGCGUGCGGGCGAUACGGGCAGACUGGAGUACUGCAGGGGAGACUGGAAUUCCUGGUGUAGCGGUGGAAUGCGCAGAUAUCAGGAGGAACACCGGUGGCGAAGGCGGGUCUCUGGGCAGUAACUGACGCUGAGGAGCGAAAGCGUGGGGAGCGAACAGG
Molecule: ribosomal RNA, 253 nt
Filed under: uncultured bacterium
Lineage: Bacteria
Description: partial 16S ribosomal RNA
Rfam family: Bacterial small subunit ribosomal RNA
Source: RNAcentral